AUUGAACGCUGGCGGCAUGCUUUACACAUGCGAGUCGAACGGCAGCGCGGGCUUCGGCCUGGCGGCGAGUGGCGAACGGGUGAGUAAUGCAUCGGAACGUGCCCAGUAGUGGGGGAUAGCCCGGCGAAAGCCGGAUUAAUACCGCAUACGACCUGAGGGUGAAAGCGGGGGACCGAAAGGCCUCGCGCUAUUGGAGCGGCCGAUGUCGGAUUAGCUAGUUGGUGGGGUAAAGGCUUACCAAGGCGACGAUCCGUAGCUGGUCUGAGAGGACGACCAGCCACACUGGGACUGAGACACGGCCCAGACUCCUACGGGAGGCAGCAGUGGGGAAUUUUGGACAAUGGGGGCAACCCUGAUCCAGCCAUGCCGCGUGCGGGAAGAGGGCCUUCGGGUUGUAAACCGCUUUUGUUCGGGAAGAAAUCCUCUGGGCUAAUACCCCGGGGGGAUGACGGUACCGGAAGAAUAAGCACCGGCUAACUACGUG
RNAcentral lists this ribosomal RNA (484 nucleotides) under uncultured bacterium. Its description in RNAcentral is "partial 16S ribosomal RNA". It matches the Rfam family "Bacterial small subunit ribosomal RNA", at positions 28 to 507 of the family's 1533-position model. The record is from RNAcentral.